Molecule: transfer RNA, 72 nt
Filed under: Amycolatopsis sp. CA-230715
Lineage: Bacteria; Bacillati; Actinomycetota; Actinomycetes; Pseudonocardiales; Pseudonocardiaceae
Description: tRNA-Ser
Source: RNAcentral
UCGACGUCCAGCUCGGCGCCGAGCUUGCGCAUCGAAAGCGCGGCGGCGCCGUGCCGGUCGGCGAAGUCGAGC